This 1364-nucleotide long non-coding RNA is filed under the name Canis lupus familiaris (dog). RNAcentral's name for it is "lncRNA (ENSCAFG00845024282.1)". Lineage: Eukaryota; Metazoa; Chordata; Mammalia; Carnivora; Canidae. The record is from RNAcentral.
GUCAACAGCGCAGAGCCACUCUGCUGUUUCCAGACACUUGUUUGAGUGAUACGUGCAAAGCCAUCGAGGAAUGUAGCAGAUCCGAGGGGACUGUCAUUUAAGAGGAUCCACGCUCAGAAGGCUGCUGUGUUUUUAAAUAACAGGUGCUUCUGCAAGAGCUGGUAUUAUCGUCCAGCAUGAUCGUCAUCUUCAGACCUGGGAAGACGCGAGCCGUCACGGACCAGGUGCCGGGCCUGCUGUCGCACAGUUCGCGAAAUUUCCGACGUUCAUGGCAAUACUUCCUUCGGACCUUUCCAGCCUUCUGUACACCUUCAUUUUGCUUCCGCCCUCCUGCAAGGCAUGCAAGGCAUGCGAUCCUGCCCUGGCUUCACUGCGGAGGGAAGGGGUUUGACCCAAAGCUGCUGGGAAGGAGGCACCCUGCCAGGUGACCCUCCAAUCAACUUUCUCAUGCGGCUCUCCAUUCCAGAGUCUGUUCCAGACCGUGUGCCUCCAGUCUAUUCUCAGCUUCCUCCAUCAUAACACUUGUCACGCCUGCUUACUCUCCUGCCUCUAGUGCCUACUGUAGUGCCUUGAACCCUGGCACAUAGUAGUUGCUCAAUUAGUGAUAGAUUGUUGAAUGAAUGGUGAAAUGGAUGUCAGUUGAAGAGACAGAAUGCCUCUCAGGCCAGAGUAAGACCUAAUGGAAAAAAGGACCAUAUCCAAAGAAAGAAGGGGGCUGGACAGCCUCAGAAUAAUAAUGAAAGGCAAAUCUUUGAACAGUGCCCAUGCAAGCACCAUACAGGAGGAGGUGCCUUAGCCAUGGAAUUUUGCUUAUUCUGAUUCCAGUGUCUAUUGUGGAGAUGUAACAAAGAGGUCUCUAGAGCCUGUGGACUGAAGUGGUCCUCUGUGGGAUUUCAUAUGGAAUCUGGGAUGCUUCUUGCUCUCAGGGACCCUGGGAAGGCAAUUUGUGUCUACAGAAGAGUUCUGAGCCUCAAGUUCAGAAAUACUGGUUAGAACUAAAUUUGUUUCUUAUGGCUUGGAAUAAAACCAUUUGUAUACUUUAAAAAAAAUCCUUUGUAUGUAGGAUUUACCUCCAUUUUACUUCAGGAGAAACUGAAGCAUAAGAUUACCAUCACCAUAAUCAUUAUGAAGUCUUUUGUAGCAACGACCUGUUCUCUACUCCGCCUUUAUGGAAAAUUUCACAUUGUAAUCCCCACUCUAGUGGGUGGAUGGUAUUAUGUCAGACAGUGGCAGACAUAUUGACCCCAUCAAUGUAUAGGUGUUACACUUCAUAGAUUUUAAUAUGUACAUUUUUUCCUCACAUUUAUCAUCUCUGAAAAUGGGACAAAUCUUAUAAUCGAUGUCAUGUCAUAGUUUAAACUGGA